RNAcentral lists this ribosomal RNA (240 nucleotides) under Triticum aestivum (bread wheat). Its description in RNAcentral is "partial small subunit ribosomal RNA". Lineage: Eukaryota; Viridiplantae; Streptophyta; Magnoliopsida; Poales; Poaceae. The record is from RNAcentral.
AUGUCUACCUCCAGCCAAACUCCAUCCAUUGCCCUUACCAACACCACAUCCGAGCCCCUCACAAGAACCAACUACAUCCUAUGGAGAGCCCAAGCUCGCUCCUAGAUCAUGGGUGCCGGGCUAUAUGGGUAUAUAGAUCAAACCACACCCGAGCCAAACAAAACCAUAGUCACCAAGACCUUAGAAGAAAAGGACCAAAUCGCUCCUAACCCUGAAUACAAACCAUGGAUUCAAGAUUAG